CAUCUGAAAGAGAUUAAAGAUUUAUCGGUGAUGGAUGGGGAUGCGUCUGAUUAGCUUGUUGGCGGGGUAACGGCCCACCAAGGCGACGAUCAGUAGGGGUUCUGAGAGGAAGGUCCCCCACAUUGGAACUGAGACACGGUCCAAACUCCUACGGGAGGCAGCAGUGAGGAAUAUUGGUCAAUGGGCGAGAGCCUGAACCAGCCAAGUAGCGUGCAGGAUGACGGCCCUAUGGGUUGUAAACUGCUUUUAUAAGGGAAUAAAGUGAGCCUCGUGAGGCUUUUUGCAUGUACCUUAUGAAUAAGGACCGGCUAAUUCCGUGCCAGCAGCCGCGGUAAUACGGAAGGUCCGGGCGUUAUCCGGAUUUAUUGGGUUUAAAGGGAGCGUAGGCCGGAGAUUAAGCGUGUUGUGAAAUGUAGAUGCUCAACAUCUGCACUGCAGCGCGAACUGGUUUCCUUGAGUACGCACAAGGUGGGCGGAAUUCGUGGUGUAGCGGUGAAAUGCUUAGAUAUCACGAAGAACUCCGAUUGCGAAGGCAGCUCACUGGAGCGCAACUGACGCUGAAGCUCGAAAGUGCGGGUAUCGAACAGGAUUAGAUACCCUGGUAGUCCGCACGGUAAACGAUGGAUGCCCGCUGUUGG
This 638-nucleotide ribosomal RNA is filed under the name uncultured bacterium. RNAcentral's name for it is "bacterial SSU rRNA". It matches the Rfam family "Bacterial small subunit ribosomal RNA", at positions 188 to 826 of the family's 1533-position model. The record is from RNAcentral. RNAcentral also lists the same sequence under 1 other name.